GGGGGGACGGAGAAGGCUAUGUUGGCCGGGCGACGGUUGUCCCGGUUUAAGCGUGUAGGCUGGUUUUCCAGGCAAAUCCGGAAAAUCAAGGCUGAGGCGUGAUGACGAGGCACUACGGUGCUGAAGCAACAAAUGCCCUGCUUCCAGGAAAAGCCUCUAAGCAUCAGGUAACAUCAAAUCGUACCCCAAACCGACACAGGUGGUCAGGUAGAGAAUACCAAGGCGCUUGAGAGAACUCGGGUGAAGGAACUAGGCAAAAUGGUGCCGUAACUUCGGGAGAAGGCACGCUGAUAUGUAGGUGAAGUCCCUCGCGGAUGGAGCUGAAAUCAGUCGAAGAUACCAGCUGGCUGCAACUGUUUAUUAAAAACACAGCACUGUGCAAACACGAAAGUGGACGUAUACGGUGUGACGCCUGCCCGGUGCCGGAAGGUUAAUUGAUGGGGUCAGCGCAAGCGAAGCUCUUGAUCGAAGCCCCGGUAAACGGCGGCCGUAACUAUAACGGUCCUAAGGUAGCGAAAUUCCUUGUCGGGUAAGUUCCGACCUGCACGAAUGGCGUAAUGAUGGCCAGGCUGUCUCCACCCGAGACUCAGUGAAAUUGAACUCGCUGUGAAGAUGCAGUGUACCCGCGGCAAGACGGAAAGACCCCGUGAACCUUUACUAUAGCUUGACACUGAACAUUGAGCCUUGAUGUGUAGGAUAGGUGGGAGGCUUUGAAGUGUGGACGCCAGUCUGCAUGGAGCCGACCUUGAAAUACCACCCUUUAAUGUUUGAUGUUCUAACGUGGACCCGUGAUCCGGGUUGCGGACAGUGUCUGGUGGGUAGUUUGACUGGGGCGGUCUCCUCCUAAAGAGUAACGGAGGAGCACGAAGGUUGGCUAAUCCUGGUCGGACAUCAGGAGGUUAGUGCAAUGGCAUAAGCCAGCUUGACUGCGAGCGUGACGGCGCGAGCAGGUGCGAAAGCAGGUCAUAGUGAUCCGGUGGUUCUGAAUGGAAGGGCCAUCGCUCAACGGAUAAAAGGUACUCCGGGGAUAACAGGCUGAUACCGCCCAAGAGUUCAUAUCGACGGCGGUGUUUGGCACCUCGAUGUCGGCUCAUCACAUCCUGGGGCUGAAGUAGGUCCCAAGGGUAUGGCUGUUCGCCAUUUAAAGUGGUACGCGAGCUGGGUUUAGAACGUCGUGAGACAGUUCGGUCCCUAUCUGCCGUGGGCGCUGGAGAACUGAGGGGGGCUGCUCCUAGUACGAGAGGACCGGAGUGGACGCAUCACUGGUGUUCGGGUUGUCAUGCCAAUGGCACUGCCCGGUAGCUAAAUGCGGAAGAGAUAAGUGCUGAAAGCAUCUAAGCACGAAACUUGCCCCGAGAUGAGUUCUCCCUGACCCUUUAAGGGUCCUGAAGGAACGUUGAAGACGACGACGUUGAUAGGCCGGGUGUGUAAGCGCAGCGAUGCGUUGAGCUAACCGGUACUAAUGAACCGUGAGGCUUAACC
This 1482-nucleotide ribosomal RNA is filed under the name Escherichia coli. Its description in RNAcentral is "bacterial LSU rRNA". It matches the Rfam family "Bacterial large subunit ribosomal RNA", at positions 1466 to 2925 of the family's 2925-position model. Lineage: Bacteria; Pseudomonadati; Pseudomonadota; Gammaproteobacteria; Enterobacterales; Enterobacteriaceae. The record is from RNAcentral.